GGAUAUGAGAGCGAUCUGGCUGCGACCUCUGUCACCCCAUUGAUUGCCAGGGUUGAUUCGGCUGAUCUGGCUGGCUAGGCAGGUGUCCCCUUCCUCCCUCACGGUUCCAUGUGUGUCCCUCCGGAAGCUGAGUGCUUGGUUGGUUGAAGAGGACUACCUUCCCUGAUAGAGGAGGACCGUUCUUCCGUCAAGGGUAUACGAGUAGCUGCGCUCCCCGCCCCCCCAAAAAAAGCCCACAGAGGAGAAGAGAAGGUAAGAGGCAGGUGCAGAAGGAAACCAAUUUAAUAUGGAGAGAAAGAUGGAGCUAGUUCUGUGCCC
This is an unclassified non-coding RNA of Marmota marmota marmota (Alpine marmot), 318 nucleotides long. Its record names the gene 7SK. It matches the Rfam family "7SK RNA". Rfam says of the family: 7SK was discovered as an abundant small nuclear RNA in the mid-70s but a possible function has only recently been suggested. Two independent studies have found that 7SK RNA binds the CDK9/cyclin T complex (known as elongation factor P-TEFb). NCBI's taxonomy places the organism in Eukaryota, Metazoa, Chordata, Mammalia, Rodentia, Sciuridae. The record is from Ensembl.